RNAcentral lists this ribosomal RNA (991 nucleotides) under uncultured bacterium. RNAcentral describes it as "bacterial SSU rRNA". It matches the Rfam family "Bacterial small subunit ribosomal RNA", at positions 56 to 1033 of the family's 1533-position model. The record is from RNAcentral.
UGCAAGUCGAGCGGUAGAGAGAAGCUUGCUUCUCUUGAGAGCGGCGGACGGGUGAGUAAUGCCUAGGAAUCUGCCUGGUAGUGGGGGAUAACGUUCGGAAACGGACGCUAAUACCGCAUACGUCCUACGGGAGAAAGCAGGGGACCUUCGGGCCUUGCGCUAUCAGAUGAGCCUAGGUCGGAUUAGCUAGUUGGUGGGGUAAUGGCUCACCAAGGCGACGAUCCGUAACUGGUCUGAGAGGAUGAUCAGUCACACUGGAACUGAGACACGGUCCAGACUCCUACGGGAGGCAGCAGUGGGGAAUAUUGGACAAUGGGCGAAAGCCUGAUCCAGCCAUGCCGCGUGUGUGAAGAAGGUCUUCGGAUUGUAAAGCACUUUAAGUUGGGAGGAAGGGCCAUUACCUAAUACGUGAUGGUUUUGACGUUACCGACAGAAUAAGCACCGGCUAACUCUGUGCCAGCAGCCGCGGUAAUACAGAGGGUGCAAGCGUUAAUCGGAAUUACUGGGCGUAAAGCGCGCGUAGGUGGUUUGUUAAGUUGGAUGUGAAAUCCCCGGGCUCAACCUGGGAACUGCAUUCAAAACUGACUGACUAGAGUAUGGUAGAGGGUGGUGGAAUUUCCUGUGUAGCGGUGAAAUGCGUAGAUAUAGGAAGGAACACCAGUGGCGAAGGCGACCACCUGGACUGAUACUGACACUGAGGUGCGAAAGCGUGGGGAGCAAACAGGAUUAGAUACCCUGGUAGUCCACGCCGUAAACGAUGUCAACUAGCCGUUGGGAGCCUUGAGCUCUUAGUGGCGCAGCUAACGCAUUAAGUUGACCGCCUGGGGAGUACGGCCCGCAAGGUUAAAACUCAAAUGAAUUGACGGGGGGCCCGCACAAGCGGUGGGAGCAUGUGGUUUAAUUUCGAAGCAACGCGAAGAACCCUUACCAGGCCUUGACAUCCAAUGAAACUUUUCCAGAGAUGGAUGGGUGCCCUUCGGGAAACAUUGAG